RNAcentral lists this unclassified non-coding RNA (370 nucleotides) under uncultured fungus. Its description in RNAcentral is "sequence contains ITS1". The stretch from base 1 to 105 matches the Rfam family "5.8S ribosomal RNA", at positions 50 to 154 of the family's 154-position model. Lineage: Eukaryota; Fungi. The record is from RNAcentral.
CAGCUGCGAGACUUGGUGUGAAUUGCAGGACACAUUGAGCACUGAUUUUUCGAACGCGCAUUGCGGUCUCGGGUACUACCCGGGACCACGUCUGUCUGAGGGUCGGAUAAACGCUUGCAGAAGGAGGUCUCCUCCUGAUUGGUCGCUUCGGAAGCAAUUCCGUCGACCUAAGUCUUGCGUAGAUCUGUCGCCAGGAGGCGUCCCGCGUAGGACGCCCGGGAGCGGGAGUGACGGAAUCGUAGACUCCCCCGAGCCCGGGCCAGCGGUAGAUGCGAGGAGCGACGGACGAUACGGACAGAUCGACGAGAGUCCAACUCCGUCGUUAUAUGAUGUCGACCUCAGAUCAGGCGAGACGACCCGCUGAAUUUAA